This is a long non-coding RNA of Folsomia candida, 408 nucleotides long. RefSeq lists it as uncharacterized. NCBI's taxonomy places the organism in Eukaryota, Metazoa, Arthropoda, Collembola, Entomobryomorpha, Isotomidae. The transcript has 2 exons. The record is from RefSeq and is a predicted model, not a curated record.
UUGCAUGUUGGGUACUGACUAACUCGCAAAAUUCGCACUUACUUUUUGCCAUCCAACCAAACUGACUGACUAAAAGUCAUCAUAUCCUCCUCGUUAAAAGGAAGUAAUAAUUUGUUAUCCGUGAGAUGAUGACUUGCUCAAAAACAAGACAACAAAGUGCAGAGGUAAAAAUAACACGGAUCUGUAGUUUUAAAAUAAAACUGGGAACUCUGAACGAAAAUGCAUUGCACCCAAGAUGAAGUCUUCGUAUUUACAAAAAAAUUGUUACGGGUGGAAGUCGAAAAAGAAUAAAAAAAAUACUAUCAUAGAAUUCGGUAUAUUGUGAAGAUACAACGGUGGAAAAUAUUAUAUGUAGAUUAUGUAGAUUCAUUUAUGUAUAUAGCUGCUAAUAAAAAUACAUAUAAAAUC